AUGCUCACCUCGGCAGCACAUAUCCUAAAAUUGGAAAAAUACAGAGAAGAUUAGCAUGGCCCCUGAGCAAGGAUAACACGCAAGUUCGUGAAGUGUUCCGUAUUUUU
Molecule: small nuclear RNA, 107 nt
Filed under: Pan paniscus (pygmy chimpanzee)
Lineage: Eukaryota; Metazoa; Chordata; Mammalia; Primates; Hominidae
Source: RNAcentral